RNAcentral lists this ribosomal RNA (532 nucleotides) under uncultured Klebsiella sp. RNAcentral's name for it is "bacterial SSU rRNA". It matches the Rfam family "Bacterial small subunit ribosomal RNA", at positions 505 to 1035 of the family's 1533-position model. The record is from RNAcentral. Lineage: Bacteria; Pseudomonadati; Pseudomonadota; Gammaproteobacteria; Enterobacterales; Enterobacteriaceae.
GUGCCAGCCGCCGCGGUAAUACGGAGGGUGCAAGCGUUAAUCGGAAUUACUGGGCGUAAAGCGCACGCAGGCGGUCUGUCAAGUCGGAUGUGAAAUCCCCGGGCUCAACCUGGGAACUGCAUUCGAAACUGGCAGGCUAGAGUCUUGUAGAGGGGGGUAGAAUUCCAGGUGUAGCGGUGAAAUGCGUAGAGAUCUGGAGGAAUACCGGUGGCGAAGGCGGCCCCCUGGACAAAGACUGACGCUCAGGUGCGAAAGCGUGGGGAGCAAACAGGAUUAGAUACCCUGGUAGUCCACGCCGUAAACGAUGUCGAUUUGGAGGUUGUGCCCUUGAGGCGUGGCUUCCGGAGCUAACGCGUUAAAUCGACCGCCUGGGGAGUACGGCCGCAAGGUUAAAACUCAAAUGAAUUGACGGGGCCCGCACAAGCGGUGGAGCAUGUGGUUUAAUUCGAUGCAACGCGAAGAACCUUACCUAGGUCUUGACAUCCACAGAACUUUCCAGAGAUGGAUUGGUGCCUUCGGGAACUGUAGAGAC